RNAcentral lists this ribosomal RNA (466 nucleotides) under uncultured bacterium. Its description in RNAcentral is "partial 16S ribosomal RNA". It matches the Rfam family "Bacterial small subunit ribosomal RNA", at positions 28 to 507 of the family's 1533-position model. The record is from RNAcentral.
GAUGAACGCUGGCGGCGUGCUUAACACAUGCAAGUCGAACGGAAAGGCUCCUGCUUGCAGGGGUACUCGAGUGGCGAACGGGUGAGUAACACGUGGGUGAUCUGCCCUGCACUUCGGGAUAAGCCUGGGAAACUGGGUCUAAUACCGGAUAGGACGAUGGUUUGGAUGCCAUUGUGGAAAGUUUUUUCGGUAUGGGAUGAGCUCGCGGCCUAUCAGCUUGUUGGUGGGGUAAUGGCCUACCAAGGCGUCGACGGGUAGCCGGCCUGAGAGGGUGUACGGCCACAUUGGGACUGAGAUACGGCCCAGACUCCUACGGGAGGCAGCAGUGGGGAAUAUUGCACAAUGGGCGCAAGCCUGAUGCAGCGACGCCGCGUGGGGGAUGACGGCCUUCGGGUUGUAAACUCCUUUCGCUAGGGACGAAGCGCAAGUGACGGUACCUGGAGAAGAAGCACCGGCUAACUACGUG